CGAUUUAGCUCAGCGGUAGAGCACUUCACUCGUAAUGAAGGGGUCUCGGGUUCAAAUCCCGAAAU
Molecule: transfer RNA, 65 nt
Filed under: uncultured Alistipes sp.
Lineage: Bacteria; Pseudomonadati; Bacteroidota; Bacteroidia; Bacteroidales; Rikenellaceae
Rfam family: tRNA
About the family: Transfer RNA (tRNA) molecules are approximately 80 nucleotides in length. Their secondary structure includes four short double-helical elements and three loops (D, anti-codon, and T loops).
Source: RNAcentral